This 1369-nucleotide ribosomal RNA is filed under the name uncultured bacterium. RNAcentral's name for it is "bacterial SSU rRNA". It matches the Rfam family "Bacterial small subunit ribosomal RNA", at positions 28 to 1381 of the family's 1533-position model. The record is from RNAcentral.
GACGAACGCUGGCGGCGUGCCUAAUACAUGCAAGUAGAACGCUGAAGAGAGGAGCUUGCUCUUCUUGGAUGAGUUGCGAACGGGUGAGUAACGCGUAGGUAACCUGCCUUGUAGCGGGGGAUAACUAUUGGAAACGAUAGCUAAUACCGCAUAACAAUGGAUGACACAUGUCAUUUAUUUGAAAGGGGCAAUUGCUCCACUACAAGAUGGACCUGCGUUGUAUUAGCUAGUAGGUGAGGUAAUGGCUCACCUAGGCGACGAUACAUAGCCGACCUGAGAGGGUGAUCGGCCACACUGGGACUGAGACACGGCCCAGACUCCUACGGGAGGCGGCAGUAGGGAAUCUUCGGCAAUGGGGGCAACCCUGACCGAGCAACGCCGCGUGAGUGAAGAAGGUUUUCGGAUCGUAAAGCUCUGUUGUAAGUCAAGAACGGGUGUGAGAGUGGAAAGUUCACACUGUGACGGUAGCUUACCAGAAAGGGACGGCUAACUACGUGCCAGCAGCCGCGGUAAUACGUAGGUCCCGAGCGUUGUCCGGAUUUAUUGGGCGUAAAGCGAGCGCAGGCGGUUUGAUAAGUCUGAAGUUAAAGGCUGUGGCUCAACCAUAGUUCGCUUUGGAAACUGUCAAACUUGAGUGCAGAAGGGGAGAGUGGAAUUCCAUGUGUAGCGGUGAAAUGCGUAGAUAUAUGGAGGAACACCGGUGGCGAAAGCGGCUCUCUGGUCUGUAACUGACGCUGAGGCUCGAAAGCGUGGGGAGCGAACAGGAUUAGAUACCCUGGUAGUCCACGCCGUAAACGAUGAGUGCUAGGUGUUGGAUCCUUUCCGGGAUUCAGUGCCGCAGCUAACGCAUUAAGCACUCCGCCUGGGGAGUACGACCGCAAGGUUGAAACUCAAAGGAAUUGACGGGGGCCCGCACAAGCGGUGGAGCAUGUGGUUUAAUUCGAAGCAACGCGAAGAACCUUACCAGGUCUUGACAUCCCGAUGCUAUUUCUAGAGAUAGAAAGUUACUUCGGUACAUCGGUGACAGGUGGUGCAUGGUUGUCGUCAGCUCGUGUCGUGAGAUGUUGGGUUAAGUCCCGCAACGAGCGCAACCCCUAUUGUUAGUUGCCAUCAUUCAGUUGGGCACUCUAGCGAGACUGCCGGUAAUAAACCGGAGGAAGGUGGGGAUGACGUCAAAUCAUCAUGCCCCUUAUGACCUGGGCUACACACGUGCUACAAUGGUUGGUACAACGAGUUGCGAGUCGGUGACGGCGAGCUAAUCUCUUAAAGCCAAUCUCAGUUCGGAUUGUAGGCUGCAACUCGCCUACAUGAAGUCGGAAUCGCUAGUAAUCGCGGAUCAGCACGCCGCGGUGAAUACGUCCCCGGGCCU